UUCCAUGUGGCUCAGUUGGUAGAGCAUGGUGUUUGCAACGCCAGGGUUGUGUGUUCGAUUCCCACAGGGGGAU
Molecule: transfer RNA, 73 nt
Filed under: Salmo salar (Atlantic salmon)
Lineage: Eukaryota; Metazoa; Chordata; Actinopteri; Salmoniformes; Salmonidae
Rfam family: tRNA
About the family: Transfer RNA (tRNA) molecules are approximately 80 nucleotides in length. Their secondary structure includes four short double-helical elements and three loops (D, anti-codon, and T loops).
Source: Rfam by way of RNAcentral